AUUAUGGACUAGAUAAAUUUAUG
RNAcentral lists this non-coding RNA (23 nucleotides) under Cricetulus griseus (Chinese hamster). The record is from RNAcentral. Lineage: Eukaryota; Metazoa; Chordata; Mammalia; Rodentia; Cricetidae.